CCCAUAAAACGUAUGGCAAUUGCUAGCAAUUUGCUUAAAUAUUCUUAGCAUUUUCUAGCUAUUUUCUUUUGAAAAUGUAACUCAUUUUUCAUUGCAACUUCUACCAACACUGGAUGCUGCUGCUGCAGCAAGAGCAACAAAUAGCGAGAGUUUUGUUUAACUGUUUAACACUGUAUUUAUGUGUCGGUGUGCAACAAAACUGACACGAGAAAACCACAGGGAGUACACGACGGCAGAGCGCUGCGGCAGGGGGUUGCAGCUGGAAACGGGCGUCAACUGCAUGCAUGAGUAAUAGCGUAGCGACGCUGGCAACACAUUUCGUAUUGCAAUUGCAAUUAAGAUCAAUAUUUAAGUAAUGCGCCGGGUCGCAGCCAGCGUUUGCCAAUUGCUAAGCAAUCGAAAAACAGAAGAGUGCACUAACACACAUACACACAGAUGUAUAUACAAAAUCGGAACGCGCGAGACACGUCCGCUUCGUCAAGAAACAGCCAACUGACGAGUUUGACAAACAAAUAUAACAACAAUAUAAC
Long non-coding RNA from Drosophila montana, 530 nucleotides. RefSeq lists it as uncharacterized. The transcript has 3 exons. Lineage: Eukaryota; Metazoa; Arthropoda; Insecta; Diptera; Drosophilidae. The record is from RefSeq and is a predicted model, not a curated record.